ACGUACACUCCUGCGGGAGGCAGCAGUGGGGAAUAUUGGACAAUGGGCGCAAGCCUGAUCCAGCCAUGCCGCGUGAGUGAUGAAGGCCCUAGGGUUGUAAAGCUCUUUCACCGGAGAAGAUAAUGACGGUAUCCGGAGAAGAAGCCCCGGCUAACUUCGUGCCAGCAGCCGCGGUAAUACGAAGGGGGCUAGCGUUGUUCGGAAUUACUGGGCGUAAAGCGCACGUAGGCGGAUCGAUCAGUCAGGGGUGAAAUCCCAGGGCUCAACCCUGGAACUGCCUUUGAUACUGUCGAUCUGGAGUAUGGAAGAGGUGAGUGGAAUUCCGAGUGUAGAGGUGAAAUUCGUAGAUAUUCGGAGGAACACCAGUGGCGAAGGCGGCUCACUGGUCCAUUACUGACGCUGAGGUGCGAAAGCGUGGGGAGCAAACAGGAUUAGAUACCCGGGUAGUCCCAUGA
Molecule: ribosomal RNA, 455 nt
Filed under: uncultured organism
Description: partial 16S ribosomal RNA
Rfam family: Bacterial small subunit ribosomal RNA
Source: RNAcentral